This 253-nucleotide ribosomal RNA is filed under the name uncultured bacterium. RNAcentral's name for it is "partial 16S ribosomal RNA". It matches the Rfam family "Bacterial small subunit ribosomal RNA", at positions 524 to 776 of the family's 1533-position model. The record is from RNAcentral.
UACGUAGGGAGCAAGCGUUGUCCGGAAUCAUUGGGCGUAAAGCGCGCGUAGGCGGCCCUGUAAGUCCGCUGUGAAAGUCAAAGGCUCAACCUUUGAAAGCCGGUGGAUACUGCAGGGCUAGAGUCCGGAAGAGGCGAGUGGAAUUCCUGGUGUAGCGGUGGAAUGCGCAGAUAUCAGGAGGAACACCCGUGGCGAAAGCGGCUCUCUGGGACGGUACUGACGCUGAGACGCGAAAGCGUGGGGAGCAAACAGG